UCACACAGAAACAUUCAGAACCUAUGAUA
RNAcentral lists this non-coding RNA (29 nucleotides) under Homo sapiens (human). The record is from RNAcentral. Lineage: Eukaryota; Metazoa; Chordata; Mammalia; Primates; Hominidae.